This 657-nucleotide ribosomal RNA is filed under the name Intumescentia tinctorum. Its description in RNAcentral is "SSU rRNA". It matches the Rfam family "Eukaryotic small subunit ribosomal RNA", at positions 100 to 764 of the family's 1831-position model. The record is from RNAcentral. Lineage: Eukaryota; Fungi; Ascomycota; Dothideomycetes; Mycosphaerellales; Teratosphaeriaceae.
AUUAAAUCAGUUAUCGUUUAUUUGAUAGUACCUUACUACAUGGAUACCUGUGGUAAUUCUAGAGCUAAUACAUGCUAAAAACCCCGACUUCGGGAGGGGUGUAUUUAUUAGAUAAAAAACCAAUGCCCUUCGGGGCUCCUUGGUGAAUCAUAAUAACUUAACGAAUCGCAUGGCCUUGCGCCGGCGAUGGUUCAUUCAAAUUUCUGCCCUAUCAACUUUCGAUGGUAGGAUAGUGGCCUACCAUGGUAGCAACGGGUAACGGGGAAUUAGGGUUCUAUUCCGGAGAGGGAGCCUGAGAAACGGCUACCACAUCCAAGGAAGGCAGCAGGCGCGCAAAUUACCCAAUCCCGAUACGGGGAGGUAGUGACAAUAAAUACUGAUACAGGGCUCUUUUGGGUCUUGUAAUUGGAAUGAGUACAAUUUAAAUCCCUUAACGAGGAACAAUUGGAGGGCAAGUCUGGUGCCAGCAGCCGCGGUAAUUCCAGCUCCAAUAGCGUAUAUUAAAGUUGUUGCAGUUAAAAAGCUCGUAGUUGAACCUUGGGCCUGGCUGGCCGGUCCGCCUCACCGCGUGUACUGGUCCGGCCGGGCCUUUCCUUCUGGGGAGCCGCAUGCCCUUCACUGGGCGUGUCGGGGAACCAGGACUUUUACUGUGAAAAA